RNA transcript from Argiope bruennichi, 1012 nucleotides. RefSeq lists it as uncharacterized. The record is from RefSeq and is a predicted model, not a curated record. The transcript has 2 exons. Lineage: Eukaryota; Metazoa; Arthropoda; Arachnida; Araneae; Araneidae.
AUUCAAGGCUAUGGAAAUUUCAAUUAAUUUUCUAUAUUGAAGUGAAUGUUUUAUGCAUUUGUUACUAAAAUUUUCAGUUCUUAUGGCGGUUAGACAAGAUUGUAUGUGCUAUUUUGUUUCUGGAUCUUUCUUUGAGAAUUAAUCCAACACUUUUAUUCUAUCAAAGAUUCUAGAUUCCAUGUAGAAGAUUCUGUCAUGUGAUUCAACUUGUAAAGAAGCUGACACAAUAACACCUACAUGCAAAAUAAAUGUAUGAAGUGAAUCACGCUCAUUGCUGCCGAAAAUAGUUAUUCAAGUUUUCACAAAAUUUUCUGUCAGUAAAUUAUUUACAAACGGGCUCUCUUAAUAGCUUGGUAUGAAACCAAUCUUGGUUUUUUUGAUCACCAUGUUAAUCGCGGAUGCUUUCUGUCAACAGUUGGAAGCUUAUAUGGCCAUAAAAGGUAUACAUAAAUUCUCACGCAUCAAAAAGAAGCUUAAAGAUAAGAAAUUUGUAUUGUACGGAUUAGGAGCUGCUGUUAGUUCCGUCAAAGGUGCCGUUGCCGGCGUUGUGAGCAAACCGCUGAAGCUCAUUGGAGUUGUCCUAGGCCCACUGGGCACUCCUUUCAAAGUAGCAGGAAAAGCACUAAAGGCCAAAUCUGUUGCAGAAAAAGCGAAAUCUCUAGCCUUAACAGUGAAAAAAUUAUCUAGAGAUUCUGUCCGUUACGGAUAAAAUAUUGCUUCAUGCAUCUGCCAAGAGAAUCUCAAGAUGUCAUUACCAAGUUUGUUACUCACUUUUUUUUGCCGACAAUUUGUUUGAAAUCUAGUCUGGUAAAUUCGACUCUAAACAUUCAUGACUCUGAGCUUCGUAUAAAAUUUUCAAAUUUAAGUUCUGCAAAUAUUAAUUUUCAAAAGAUACAAUCCUGAAAACUUGAAUAGAGUUAUGGUUUUCUAUUUUUGUUUCUACCAAUUUUUAUAAUGUUCCAAAUGAAAUUUUAAUGUUGUACUAGCUGUUUUUAUAAUAAAACAUUAUUUA